CAGAGAAACAGAUGGACUACAGUCUGUAACUGUAGAACUACAGAGUGAAACUAUAUGGUCAGUGGAGCUGAUAAGAUGGACAGUUGGUUCUAAUAUGGUGGAGUUCCUGUCUCAGACAAAAGUCAGCAGACCUGAUCCAUUAGUUUCAGCUGUAGCAGAUGAUCCGUCUUUUGCCGUCUUUAACAGACGAGCUGUGGAGCAGAGCGGACGUGUUGGAGCGGCUGACGUCUGUUUCAAGGCAUUCUUUGUACGUUGUAAUGUUGAAAUUGUAACUGGGAAUCCAGUGCUGACAAAUGUUUGUCAUUCUUAAAUGCACUGCUGGUGUUUGCAGUUAUCAGAAGUGUUAAUUGUGAUAUUUUACUGAUGUUAAUUGUAAAAUGGAUGGUAAAUAACAUUUGAAUAUGAAUAUAUAAUUAUUAUUUAUACAUUGUUUUAUAUAUGCAGUAUUUCCCAUGUUACACUCAGUGGAUUUUAUGUAAUUAAUAUGCUCUGUAUAUAAAUAUAUAAAUAAAUCACUACAUUUUGGUGGUUAAAA
This is a long non-coding RNA of Colossoma macropomum (tambaqui), 535 nucleotides long. RefSeq lists it as uncharacterized. The transcript is spliced from 2 exons. The record is from RefSeq and is a predicted model, not a curated record. Lineage: Eukaryota; Metazoa; Chordata; Actinopteri; Characiformes; Serrasalmidae.